GAUGAACGCUGGCGGCGCGCCUAACACAUGCAAGUCGAACGAUUAAAGCACCUUCGGGUGUGUAUAAAGUGGCGAACGGCUGAGUAACACGUGGGCAACCUGCCCCUCUCAUUGGGAUAGCCACGGGAAACCGUGGAUAAUACCGAAUACUUCGGGACUUCCUCCUGGAAGACUCGAGAAAGCUCCGGCGGAGAGGGAUGGGCCCGCGGCCUGUUAGCUUGUUGGUGGGGUAAUGGCCUACCAAGGCAAUGAUGGGUAGCUGGGUUGAGAGACCGACCAGCCAGAUUGGGACUGAGACACGGCCCAGACUCCUACGGGAGGCAGCAGUGGGGAAUCUUGCACAAUGGGCGAAAGCCUGAUGCAGCGACGCCGCGUGCGGGAUGAAGGCCUUCGGGUUGUAAACCGCUUUCAGCAGGGACGAGGCGAAAGUGACGGUACCUGCAGAAGAAGCCCCGGCUAACUACGUG
Molecule: ribosomal RNA, 467 nt
Filed under: uncultured bacterium
Lineage: Bacteria
Description: partial 16S ribosomal RNA
Rfam family: Bacterial small subunit ribosomal RNA
Source: RNAcentral